GGUUUACCCAUUGGUCAGGCUUAAUUGACUGUACUGGUGAGAUAAAUCUCUACCUUCUGAGGAACUCUCAUGCCAUUUAUUUGGUGUGGUUGGAAAUCAGGACUGUUACUUUGAAAAAUUAGAGUGUUUAAAGCAGGCUAGCGUCUGAAUACAUUAGCAUGGAAUAAUGAAAUAGGACGGACUGAUUCUAUUUCGUUGGUUUCUAGGAUCACCGUAAUGAUUAAUAGGGAUAGUUGGG
This 238-nucleotide ribosomal RNA is filed under the name uncultured Diversispora. RNAcentral's name for it is "partial 18S ribosomal RNA". The stretch from base 43 to 238 matches the Rfam family "Eukaryotic small subunit ribosomal RNA", at positions 689 to 886 of the family's 1831-position model. The record is from RNAcentral. RNAcentral also lists the same sequence under 1 other name. Lineage: Eukaryota; Fungi; Glomeromycota; Glomeromycetes; Diversisporales; Diversisporaceae.